Podarcis muralis (Common wall lizard) is the source of this 74-nucleotide non-coding RNA. The record is from the annotation of a RefSeq genome assembly. NCBI's taxonomy places the organism in Eukaryota, Metazoa, Chordata, Lepidosauria, Squamata, Lacertidae.
GCCUUGAUAGCUCAGUUGGUUAGAGUGUGGCACUGAUAAUACCAAGAUUGUAGGUUCAAUCCCCACAUAGGACA